This 497-nucleotide ribosomal RNA is filed under the name uncultured bacterium. RNAcentral describes it as "partial 16S ribosomal RNA". It matches the Rfam family "Bacterial small subunit ribosomal RNA", at positions 28 to 507 of the family's 1533-position model. The record is from RNAcentral.
GAUGAACGCUGGCGGCGUGCUUAAUACAUGCAAGUCGAGCGAACAGACGAGGAGCUUGCUCCUCUGACGUUAGCGGCGGACGGGUGAGUCACAAGUGGAUAACCUCCCUAUAAGACUGGGAUCAUUUCGGGAAACGGGCGCUAAUACCGGAUAAUAUAUUGAACCGCAUGGUUCAAUAGUGAAAGACGGUUUUGCUGGCACUUAUCGCUGCAUCCGCGCCGUUUUAGCUAGUUGUUAAGGUACAGGCUUAUCAAGGGAACCAGGCGUGACAGACCUGAUAGGCUGAUCGCCCACCCUGGAACUGAGACACGGUCCUUGCUACUACGGGAGGCAGCAGUAUCGAAUCUUCCGCAGUGGUCGAGAGCUUGACGGAACAGGCGCGCGUGAGAUAUGAAGGUCUUCGGAUCGUAAUACUCUCUUAUUAGUGAAAAACAAAUGUGUAAGUAACCAUGCACGGCUUGACGGUACCGAAUAAGAAAGCCACGGCUAACUACGUG